GAAGAUACAAUUGUUGAUAAGGUUGAAUGAACUCAGCCAAGGCCCUUUUCAUAAGGAAGAGCCCAUUGACCUCUCCUUCUGAGACCAUUUUACUUCAUUACAAGGGAGUAACUCUUCCAUGUAAGAGCUUCCUCCAUGGUAUUUGAUCCAUCCAUGGAAGGGGUUAAUCGUCUAAGGUGACAAGUUGCGGCGCUCCGUGGGAUGUAUCAUAGUCAUCCUUGAUGAGGCUAUUUUACCACAUUACAAGGGGAUAGCUCUUCUUUGCAAAGGCUCCUCCAUGAUAUUUGAUCAAGCUACGUAAGGGGUUAAUCAUCUAAGGUAACAAGUUGUGGCUCUCUAUGGGACACAUCACACUUGUCCUUGAUAAGGCUAUUUUACCUAUUUGCAAGGGGGAGAGCUUUUCACUACAAGGGCUUCCCCCAUGAUUUUGGAUCCAUUAUAUGGAAGUGGUUAAUCCUUUAAGGUAACAAGUUCUGGCUCUCUGUGGGAUGCAUCACACUUGUCCUUGAUGUGGCUAUUUACUACUUUAAAGGGGAUAGCUCUUUUUUGCAAGGGCUUUCUCCAUAGUGUUUGAUCCAUCCAUGAAAGGGGUUAAUCCUCUAAGGUAGCAAGUUAUGGCUCUCUAUGGGAUGCAUUACACUCAUCGUUGAUGAGGCUAUUUUACCUUCUUGCAUAGGGAUAGCUCUUCCUUACAAAGGCUUCUUCCAUGGUGUUUGAUCCAACCAUGGAAGGAAUUUUAUAUAGUCGAAACACUGAUACAUUGUUAAGAUCAAGCCUUUCAUGGUAGAGGCAAUGAUACAUAAGCGAGAUGAGGCCUCGUAUAGUGAAGGUACUAAUGUAUAGGCGAGAUAAGGCUUUGGAUUAUGGAGUCCAAUAUUUCAUGGAUAAGGCCUAUUAAUUCAGCAAGUAUGACCCCCAUUUUCAAGGAUCCUCCCUUCUUCAGGGGCCUUCCUUCUUUAAGAGUUAUUAUUCAUAACCUUUUUUCAGAGGCCUCCUGAUAUAACCCAGGAGUCGAGCUCGACAAAGGCAAGUGCGAGACGAGAUCCGUUGAUAGUCGAUGGCGAACCGAUGACGCGAUCGAAGACGAGACGAGUCAACGAGGCGAUGAGAUUGCUCGUCAAGGCAAAGAUUGAAGACACCAUGUUCGGGACUCAAAAUGGAGCAACUUUCAUGUUUGAGUCGAAGACCGAAUCAACUUGGAUCAAUUUAAUAUCGAAAGCCAAAAUCAAAGGGAAAUUUAAAGUCUGUGCAGUUGCACAAGCAUACACGCUCGCGAUCGCACGGUGGUCUACCGAAGCUCAAAGGAGGCAUUUUGUUUGAACCAUGCAACCGCAUGGAAUUGCACGUUGCGGCCGCAUAGGCUAAUUUUUGGACGAAUUUCCUAUUUUUGGUAUUUUUUCAUAUUUUGUUAGUUUUUUAUUCUUUUCUAUACUUUGGGAAUUAUGUUCGACUUUUGCAUGAUUUUUAUCUAGUUUUUAGGUUUAGUAUAAAUAGAAGUUUUCAUUCAAUUGUAAGAACUUUUGACAUUUUUGAUAUUGAAUUAAAGUGAGG
RNAcentral lists this long non-coding RNA (1551 nucleotides) under Olea europaea (common olive). RNAcentral describes it as "long non-coding RNA (OEUR_LNC003517)". Lineage: Eukaryota; Viridiplantae; Streptophyta; Magnoliopsida; Lamiales; Oleaceae. The record is from RNAcentral.